This 326-nucleotide unclassified non-coding RNA is filed under the name uncultured fungus. RNAcentral's name for it is "partial contains 5.8S rRNA and ITS2". The record is from RNAcentral. Lineage: Eukaryota; Fungi.
ACGCAAAUUGCGCUCGAGGCUUCGGCCAAGAGCAUGUCUGCCUCAGCGUCGGGUUAAUACUCACAUUUGCACUCCAUCCAGAGUGCACAUGUGGAUCUGGCUGUCUCGGGUUAUUUUAAUUAAUUAACCGGGUCAGCUGAAUUGCAGAUGUCCAGGCAUGGACCGUUAGAUCGGGCCUUUACUGGGUAGGCAAUGUGUUUGCUGUAUUGCUUUAGUAGAUGGAUUGGGUACUGUCUUUUGCAAGAAGCAGGAGUAUCUGUUCAUACAGGUACAACCAAUACCAUUUUCUCGACCUGAGAUCAGGCAAGAUUACGCGCUGAACUUAA